UUGGAGGGCAAGUCUGGUGCCAGCAGCCGCGGUAAUUCCAGCUCCAAUAGCGUAUAUUAAAGUUGUUGCAGUUAAAAAGCUCGUAGUUGAAUUUCGGGGUUCUACCGUUGGUCGGGCUUUGUCUGUACUGGUGUGUAGAAUUUCUACCUUCUGGGAAACCAUCAUGCUAUUAAUUUAGCGUGGUGGGAAACCAGGACCUUUACCUUGAAAAAAUUAGUGUGUUCAAAGCAGGCUUAUGUCUGAAUACAUUAGCGUGGAAUAAUAGAAUAGGACGGUGGUCCUGUUUUGUUGGUUUCUGAAUCACCGUAAUGAUUAAUAGGGAUAGUUGGGGGCAUUAGUAUUCAAUUGUCAGAGGUGAAAUUCUUGGAUUUAUUGAAGACUAACUUCUGCGAAAGCAUUUGCCAAGGAUGUUUUCAUUAAUCAAGAACGAAAGUUAGGGGAUCGAAGACGAUCAGAUACCGUCGUAGUCUUAACCAUAAACUAUGCCGACUAGGGAUCGGACGAUGUUAAUUUUUCUUGACUCGUUCGGCGCCUUACGGGAAAC
RNAcentral lists this ribosomal RNA (544 nucleotides) under uncultured Glomeromycotina. RNAcentral describes it as "SSU rRNA". It matches the Rfam family "Eukaryotic small subunit ribosomal RNA", at positions 548 to 1098 of the family's 1831-position model. Lineage: Eukaryota; Fungi; Glomeromycota. The record is from RNAcentral.